AGAGUUUGAUCCUGGCUCAGGAUGAACGCUGGCGGCGUGCUUAACACAUGCAAGUCGAGCGAGAAAAGUUCUUCGGAGCUUUUCUAGCGGCGGACGGGUGAGUAACACGUGGGCAACCUGCCUCAUAGAGGGGAAUAGCCUUCCGAAAGGAAGAUUAAUACCGCAUAAUAUUGUUGAAAGGCAUCUUUUAACAAUCAAAGGAGCAAUCCGCUAUGAGAUGGGCCCGCGGCGCAUUAGCUAGUUGGUGAGGUAACGGCUCACCAAGGCGACGAUGCGUAGCCGACCUGAGAGGGUGAUCGGCCACAUUGGAACUGAGACACGGUCCAGACUCCUACGGGAGGCAGCAGUGGGGAAUAUUGCACAAUGGGGGAAACCCUGAUGCAGCAACGCCGCGUGAGUGAUGAAGGUCUUCGGAUUGUAAAGCUCUGUCUUUAGGGACGAUAAUGACGGUACCUAAGGAGGAAGCCACGGCUAACUACGUGCCAGCAGCCGCGGUAAUACGUA
Molecule: ribosomal RNA, 504 nt
Filed under: uncultured bacterium
Lineage: Bacteria
Description: bacterial SSU rRNA
Rfam family: Bacterial small subunit ribosomal RNA
Source: RNAcentral